AUUGAACGCUGGCGGCAUGCCUUACACAUGCAAGUCGAACGGUAACGGGCCUUCGGGUGCCGACGAGUGGCGAACGGGUGCGUAAUACAUCGGAACGUGCCCGAUCGUGGGGGAUAACGAGGCGAAAGCUUUGCUAAUACCGCAUACGAUCUACGGAUGAAAGCAGGGGACCGCAAGGCCUUGCGCGGACGGAGCGGCCGAUGGCAGAUUAGGUAGUUGGUGGGAUAAAAGCUUACCAAGCCGACGAUCUGUAGCUGGUCUGAGAGGAUGAUCAGCCACACUGGGACUGAGACACGGCCCAGACUCCUACGGGAGGCAGCAGUGGGGAAUUCUGGACAAUGGGCGCAAGCCUGAUCCAGCCAUGCCGCGUGCAGGAUGAAGGCCUUCGGGUUGUAAACUGCUUUUGUACGGAACGAAAAGCCUUCUUUUAAUACAGGAGGGUCAUGACGGUACCGGAAGAAUAAGCACCGGCUAACUACGUG
Molecule: ribosomal RNA, 482 nt
Filed under: uncultured bacterium
Lineage: Bacteria
Description: partial 16S ribosomal RNA
Rfam family: Bacterial small subunit ribosomal RNA
Source: RNAcentral